RNAcentral lists this ribosomal RNA (253 nucleotides) under uncultured bacterium. RNAcentral's name for it is "partial 16S ribosomal RNA". It matches the Rfam family "Bacterial small subunit ribosomal RNA", at positions 524 to 776 of the family's 1533-position model. The record is from RNAcentral.
UACGUAGGUGGCAAGCGUUGUCCGGAAUUAUUGGGCGUAAAGCGCGCGCAGGCGGUCCUUUAAGUCUGAUGUGAAAGCCCACGGCUCAACCGUGGAGGGUCAUUGGAAACUGGGGGACUUGAGUACAGAAGAGAAGAGUGGAAUUCCACGUGUAGCGGUGAAAUGCGUAGAGAUGUGGAGGAACACCAGUGGCGAAGGCGGCUCACUGGUCCGCAACUGACGCUGAGGCGCGAAAGCGUGGGGAGCAAACAGG